Molecule: ribosomal RNA, 674 nt
Rfam family: 5.8S ribosomal RNA (bases 262-415)
AGAGGAAGUAAAAGUCGUAACAAGGUUUCCGUAGGUGAACCUGCGGAAGGAUCAUUAUCGAGUUUUAUUUGAACGGGUUGUAGCUGGCCUUUUAAUCGAGGCAUGUGCACGCUCGGCUCAAUUCCACUCUUAACCACUGUGCACUUUUUGUAAGAUCGGUUGAAGGACUUUGUGUAAUAAUAAAGUUCGGAAGCCUUUCUUAUGUUUACUACAAACGCUUCAGUUAUAGAAUGUCUAUUUGUGUAUAACACAUUUAUAUACAACUUUCAGCAACGGAUCUCUUGGCUCUCGCAUCGAUGAAGAACGCAGCGAAAUGCGAUAAGUAAUGUGAAUUGCAGAAUUCAGUGAAUCAUCGAAUCUUUGAACGCACCUUGCGCUCCUUGGUAUUCCGAGGAGCAUGCCUGUUUGAGUGUCAUGGAAUUCUCAACCCUUAGAAUUUAUUUUCUAAUGGGCUUGGACUUGGAGGCUUGUGUCGGCUGCUUGCUCAGUCGACUCCUCUUAAAUGCAUUAGCGUGAAUUCUUACGGAUCGCCUUCAGUGUGAUAAUUAUCUGCGCUGUGGUGUUGAAGUAUUUUUAUAUUCGUGCUUAUAAUCGUCUCCUUACCGAGACAAUUAUCAUUAUGACAUCUGACCUCAAAUCAGGUAGGACUACCCGCUGAACUUAAGCAUAUCAAU